RNAcentral lists this ribosomal RNA (493 nucleotides) under uncultured bacterium. RNAcentral's name for it is "partial 16S ribosomal RNA". It matches the Rfam family "Bacterial small subunit ribosomal RNA", at positions 28 to 506 of the family's 1533-position model. The record is from RNAcentral.
GACGAACGCUGGCGGCGCGCUUAACACAUGCAAGUCGAACGGAAAGGCCUGCUUUCCCUUGUGGAUUGCGGGUACUCGAGUGGCGAACGGGUGAGUAACACGUGAGUGAUCUGCCCCCAACUUGGGUAUAAGCCUGGGAAACUGGGUCUAAUUCCCGAUAGGACUGCAGGGUGGUGCCUGUGGUGGAAAACGAUUUUCUAGUGGUUGGGGAUGAGCUCGCGGCCUAUCAGCUUGUUGGUGGGGUAAUGGCCUACCAAGGCGGCGACGGGUAGCCGGCCUGAGAGGGUGGACGGCCACAUUGGGACUGAGAUACGGCCCAGACUCCUACGGGAGGCAGCAGUGGGGAAGAUUGCACAAUGGGCGGAAGCCUGAUGCAGCGACGCCGCGUGGGGGAUGACGGCCUUCGGGGUGUAAACUCCUUUCGACCGCGAGGAAGCCACCUGGUUGGAAGGGUGGUGACGGUAGUGGUGGAAGAAGCACCGGCUAACUACGU